Molecule: ribosomal RNA, 354 nt
Filed under: uncultured bacterium
Lineage: Bacteria
Description: bacterial SSU rRNA
Rfam family: Bacterial small subunit ribosomal RNA
Source: RNAcentral
GACGAACGCUGGCGGCGUGCUUAACACAUGCAAGUCGAACGGGGCGAAGUGAUAGCUUGCUAUUAUGGAGCCUAGUGGCAAACGGGUGAGUAACGCGUAGGCAACCUGCCCUUCAGAUGGGGACAACACCUCGAAAGGGGUGCUAAUACCGAAUGACGUUUCUUGGUCGCAUGACCUGGAAACCAAAGGCUGGGCAACCGGUCACUGAAGGAUGGGCCUGCGUCUGAUUAGCUAGUUGGUGGGGUAACGGCCCACCAAGGCGACGAUCAGUAGCCGGUCUGAGAGGAUGAACGGCCACAUUGGGACUGAGAUACGGCCCAGACUCCUACGGGAGCAGCAGUGGGAAUAUUGGGC